CAAACACUUUUAAUCUUUUCCCUAUGCUUCUCUAGUUGUCCUUGCUCAGCCUUGAAGUUCCUAGAGAUGGUUCAAAGGACGAUCACAGCAGCAGAACUGCAGAGGAGUUACAAGGUAGAUAAGAAAGCAGUUCCCUUCAACCACAGGAGCACCUGCAGGAGAAGCUUGGACUGAGCUCUGAAGAAGAAAGCAGAAGAACCACAGUCACUGAAAGUGUUUUACACAGGAAUCCAGGCUGGAGUGAAUAAGCCUAUCAGGCUGGCACAGAGGAUUAGCAUGGUUGUCACAGGGUAGAAGAGAUGGUUGAACAAUGUCAACAUGAACAGCACAUCAGUCUUGCUGCCUCCUAAAUUGCCACAUAAUCAAUAUUCUCCCAGACUUAUCUUCCUUUUCUGAUGGCCAUUUAAGGCAGCACUGUCUGCUCAGCUCAGAUGUCUGCUGCUUCCCUUUGGUGUCUUUAACAAGGAGCAUCAGGAUCAUUUUCUCUGGAUAAUUGAACUCAUCUCUUACUGUACCUACUUGUGGUGAAUGUGUGAAUGGCAUGCUUUUUUGUGAUUGAGCAGCAAGAGAAAUGAAGUGGGAUGGCAACACUGCCCUGUAGUGGCUACAGGUCUGUGAAAUUUCAUCUUUACCCUGUUUCACUCCUUUCCUUUCUUCAAAGAGGAAGCACAGGUGAAAGAUGCUGACAGGCAAUUGUCCAUAUGAGUGCAUCUGUGUGCAGGAAUUUCUUGCAACAGUAUAAGUCCUUUGAAACAGUGGCCAAAUAUAAUCAGUCUGAAGACAGGAUGGGCAUUA
RNAcentral lists this long non-coding RNA (795 nucleotides) under Parus major (Great Tit). RNAcentral describes it as "lncRNA (ENSPMJG00000007764.1)". The record is from RNAcentral. Lineage: Eukaryota; Metazoa; Chordata; Aves; Passeriformes; Paridae.